This 22-nucleotide non-coding RNA is filed under the name Arabidopsis thaliana (thale cress). The record is from RNAcentral. Lineage: Eukaryota; Viridiplantae; Streptophyta; Magnoliopsida; Brassicales; Brassicaceae.
GUUGAUCUAUCUACAAGUUCGG